RNAcentral lists this long non-coding RNA (1206 nucleotides) under Cyanistes caeruleus (blue tit). RNAcentral's name for it is "lncRNA (ENSCCEG00000001084.1)". The record is from RNAcentral. Lineage: Eukaryota; Metazoa; Chordata; Aves; Passeriformes; Paridae.
GUCAUUCCCUAGGGAAUCUCCGGAUAACGACCUGGUGAGUGUCCCGGCGCCCCCCACCCGGCGCUGCCGUUCCCAAAGCGGGAGCACCGGGAAUGUCCCAGCGUGUCCCCGCAGGGCUGCCCGGAGGUGGACGAGGACGGAUUCACCGUGCGCCCGGACAUCGCCCGCAGUGAGGUGGAGAAUGCCGGGUGUUCCUCCAGCGAUUCCGACUACGACGAGGAUGAGCCGCGCAAGUUUUACGUGCACAUCAAACCGGUGCAGCCGCGGGAAGCGGCCGGCAGCGCCGAGGCCGCCGUGGAGCAGCUCAAGGCCACCGUGGGAAAUCUCAUCCUGGCCCCCGGUGUCGGGGUGAGCCUGGGGGGGCCGCGGGGACCCCCGGGAUUCCCGGGAUCGCCUCAUCCCUGUCCCCUUCUCUUGCAGGGCACCGUCAGGAGGCAGGCGUCACGUAAGUGGCACCGGGGAGGUGGCAGCGAGGCUUGGGGACAUCACAGCAUUCCCGAGCUCCUUUCCUUGGGGACAUCACAGCAUUCCCGAGCUCCUUGGGGACAUCGUGUCCUUCCUCAGCCUCAUUCCUUGGGAAUAUCACAGCAUUCCCGAGCUCCUUUCCUUGGGGACAUCACAGAAUUCCCAAGCUCCGUUCCUUGGGGACAUCACAGAAUUCCCGAGCUCUGUUCCUUGGGGACAUCACAGAAUUCCCAAGCUCCAUUCCUUGGGGACAUCACAGAAUUCCCGAGCUCCAUUCUUUGGGGACAUCACAUCAUUCCUGAGCCUCAUUCCUUGGGGACAAUGCCACCCUUCUUGAGAGCCACUCCUUGGGGACAUCACAGAAUUCCUGAGCUCCAUUCCUUGGGGACAGUGCCAUCCUCCCUUAGACCAAAUCCCUGGGGACAUCACAUCCUCCCUGAACCCCCUUGGUGACAGUGCCACCCUUCCUGACCCCCUUUAGGGACAGUGCCACCCUCCCUGAGCCCUCCUGGGGACAGUGCUACCCUUCCUGACCCCCUUUGGUGACAGUGCCACCCUCCCUGAGCCCCCUUGGUGACAGUGCCACCCUCCCUGACCCCCUUUGGUGACAGUGCCACCCUCCCUGAGCCCCCUUGGGGACAGUGCCACCCUCCCUGAGCCCCCUUUGGGACAGUGCCACCCUCCCUGAGCCCCCUUUGGUGACAGUGCCACCCUCCCUGAGUCCCCUCGGGGACAGUGCCA